ACGAACGCUGGCGGCGUGCUUCACCCAUGCAAGUCGAACGGAAAGGCCCUGCUUGCAGGGUACUCGAGUGGCGAACGGGUGAGUAACACGUGGGUGAUCUGCCCUGCACUUCGGGAUAAGCCUGGGAAACUGGGUCUAAUACCGGAUAGGAGCCAUUUUUAGUGUGAUGGUUGGAAAGUUUUUUCGGUGUAGGAUGAGCUCGCGGCCUAUCAGCUUGUUGGUGGGGUAAUGGCCUACCAAGGCGGCGACGGGUAGCCGGCCUGAGAGGGUGGACGGCCACAUUGGGACUGAGAUACGGCCCAGACUCCUACGUGAGGCAGCAGUGGGGAAUAUUGCACAAUGGGCGCAAGCCUGAUGCAGCGACGCCGCGUGGGGGAUGACGGCCUUCGGGUUGUAAACUCCUUUCGCUAGGGACGAAGCUUUUUGUGACGGUACCUAGAUAAGAAGCACCGGCUAACUACGUG
This 464-nucleotide ribosomal RNA is filed under the name uncultured bacterium. RNAcentral describes it as "partial 16S ribosomal RNA". It matches the Rfam family "Bacterial small subunit ribosomal RNA", at positions 29 to 507 of the family's 1533-position model. The record is from RNAcentral.